GAUGAACGCUGGCGGCGUGCCUAAUACAUGCAAGUCGAGCGAACAGACGAGGAGCUUGCUCCUCUGACGUUAGCGGCGGACGGGUGAGUAACACGUGGAUAACCUACCUAUAAGACUGGGAUAACUUCGGGAAACCGGAGCUAAUACCGGAUAAUAUAUUGAACCGCAUGGUUCAAUAGUGAAAGACGGUUUUGCUGUCACUUAUAGAUGGAUCCGCGCCGCAUUAGCUAGUUGGUAAGGUAACGGCUUACCAAGGCGACGAUGCGUAGCCGACCUGAGAGGAUCAACCGCCACACUGGAACUGAGACACAGUCCUGACUCUUACGGGAGGCAGCAGUAGGGAAUCUUCCGCAAUAGGCGAAAGCCUGACGUUACCACACCGCGUGAGUGAUGAAGGUCUUCGGAUCGUAAACCUCUGUUAUUAGGAAAGAACAAAUGUAUAAGUAACUAUGCUCGUCUUGACGGUACCUAAUCAGAAAGCCACGGCUAACUUCGUG
RNAcentral lists this ribosomal RNA (497 nucleotides) under uncultured bacterium. RNAcentral describes it as "partial 16S ribosomal RNA". It matches the Rfam family "Bacterial small subunit ribosomal RNA", at positions 28 to 507 of the family's 1533-position model. The record is from RNAcentral.